AUGGCGUCGAGGAGCAGCACCGACGACACGAAGGAAAAUGCCGUGCAAGUGUCGGUGGAUGCCAAACUGACGGUGGCCGCAGGCCGUGGCAACUGUCAGCAGUUGAAGGAUCUGCUGAGCACGGAGGAUUCGAAGACAAUGCUGGUUGUGAUGGCCCCAAGCAUCCAGGCUUCCACGGUGAAGUCUCUCCCAGAGGUCAUGAGCCCCCUUCUGCUAUCAUCGGCUUGCUCUGGCGCCUGGCAAGACUUGGAAUUUCUUCUCAACAGGGGACACGGUCAGCCGCAUCCUUCCAUGAAUUCUAGUACAAAAUUUCAUGACCUUCUCACGGCAUAUGGCUCCCACAGCUGCGGCGACAAAGGCGCAUCGAUGCAGAAAGCUUCUGAUGAUGUUGAAGCACUUCUGAACCUGCCUUCAGGUUCUACCGUGUCACUUCUGGACGGGGUCACCAUUGAAGGGGGCACUGCACUCCAUGUGGUGGCCACAUAUGGCGAGAGUGAUGGAUUCUUGAGGAGUGCUGACAUCAUCCAUAGUAAGGCAAGCCAUCUCCUGUUUGUGCGUAACAAGAAUGGUGACACGCCCCUGCACUGUGCUGCACGGGCCGGGAUGUCCCGAAUGGUCCGUCAUCUCAUCACUCUGGCCAGAGGCGAGAAUACAGGUGUUAACAGAGUGAAGGAACUCCUAGAAAUUGAAAACAGCCUUAAGGAGACAGCAUUGCAUCAAGCAGUCCGUAUUGGAAAUAAUGACAUAGUCAAGCUGCUAAUGGAGGAAAACUCGGAGUUGGCCAGUUUUCCGAAAGACGGCACUUCACCUCUGUACCUGGCCAUCUUGCUGGAAGAGGACAUCAUUGUUGAGACACUUUAUAAUGCGAGUCACAUGAAACUUUCCUACUCUGGGAAAAAUGGACAGAAUGCGCUGCAUGCUGCGGUUCUCCGAGGCACAGAGCUUACAAAAAAGCUCUUGGAAUGGAACAGUGAUCUCACUAUACAAAGGGAUGAAAACGGGAGUACGCCUCUCCAUUUUGCUGCAGCUCUGGCACAGCAAAGUCAGCGAGGAAGUAUAUGUUGGCAAGUAUUGGAAGCGAACUCAGCUGCAUUGUAUCAGUCAGAUUGCAACGGAUUAUUUCCAAUACACGUUGCUGCCUCUGUUGGUGAAAGUGGGACAGUAACUAUGUUCCUUAACAAGUCUCCGAGCAGUGCUGGUUUGCAGGACAGUAUGGGAAGGACAUUCCUUCAUGUAGCUGCUGAGAAAAGGAAAGUUAGAAUAGUCAGUUCUGCUUGCAGAAAUCAAUCACUCUUAUGGAUUCUUAAUAUCCAAGACAAUGAUGGGAACACUGCACUACACCUAGCUAUCCAGGCACGGAGUCUUCGAAUGUUUUGUGCUUUGUUAGGGAAUCGACAAACACAUUUGAAUUUAUCAAAUAAUAUGGGGCAAACUCCUCUAGAUAUAUCACCAUAUGGGGUUCCCCCAGGAUUUUUUGAUGAACAGAACAGUGAAGCGAAGAUACACUUUGCACUGACAGUUGUUAAUGCUAGGAGUGGUGGCAGUCGUCGUGAUCACUUUGAAGAAAACUACACUCGUCAGUUAAAAUAUGAUGAAACGGAACAAUUAGAAAAGUUGAAAGAACCAACACAAACACUAUGUAUUGGUGUGGCUCUAGUUGCAACUGCGACGUUUACUGUUACUUUUGCCCUUCCUGGAGGUUACAGAGCUGAUGAACAUAUUAAUGGAGGAACACCAACACUUGCCGGGAGGUAUGCAUUUGAUGCAUUCAUAAUAGCCAGCACAUUCUCCUUCGUCUUGUCUGUGAUGGCUAUGAUAGGUCUCAUGUAUUCUGGAUACUCUAUUUUAAACCCACAGACUCGUAGAAUUUACUUGAUCGCAGCCUUGUAUUUUGGGUCAACAUCGGGCACAUGCUUCCUAGCAACUUUUGCAUUAGGUUUGUACAUGGUGCUAGCACGGGUUGCUCACAAGUCCGCCAUUGCUAUCUGCGUCAUUAGCCCUCUUGCUGUUAUAUGCAAACAAAUGGACCUUUGGUUAAAGUGGGCUCUUCUGGCACAACCAUUAUGUACCCGAAUUGGGCUAACUCGUACACUGGUAAUGGUGACAACGAGAAUCCUUUUCAGCAUGUUGAUGGAAUUUUGGCCCAUAAUAUUCAUUUUUGUUUGGGCCACAUAUACAAGCAACCAGUUUUAG
This 2193-nucleotide ribosomal RNA is filed under the name Triticum aestivum (bread wheat). RNAcentral's name for it is "partial small subunit ribosomal RNA". Lineage: Eukaryota; Viridiplantae; Streptophyta; Magnoliopsida; Poales; Poaceae. The record is from RNAcentral.